This 29-nucleotide non-coding RNA is filed under the name Mus musculus (house mouse). The record is from RNAcentral. Lineage: Eukaryota; Metazoa; Chordata; Mammalia; Rodentia; Muridae.
UACAGAGCAAGGAAAGUUUCCAUUCACUA